Molecule: non-coding RNA, 813 nt
Organism: Heterocephalus glaber (naked mole-rat)
Lineage: Eukaryota; Metazoa; Chordata; Mammalia; Rodentia; Bathyergidae
Source: RefSeq, a predicted model, not a curated record
GAACUCAGGACCUCACACUUGCCAGGCAGGUGCUGUGCUGCUGAGCUACUUCCCUGGCCCAGAAGUAAGUUUUGAUUCUUUGUAAAAGUGAGCACUUUGGCUUAUAUAUGAGUUAGAAAAGUUAGAAAUAAUUGUUCAUUUUUAAUAUGUACUUUAUGGUGAAAUUUCUUAUCUAAGAAAUACAAGUAGGUAAAAACAAAAUUCAGGUCAGUAGUGUUGACUAGUUUCUAAAACUCUAUUUUUAUCCUGAGGCCAAUAAUAUAUAAACAGAAUGUUCAUAGUUUAUGUUUAAGGUAUACCUAGGGAUUGCUGUUGUUUUAUUUAUUUUAGGGAAAGGAUAGUGAGAUUUUACUUUGGAAAUCCCUGGAAGCCUUUCAGUGGUCUUUGGACUGACUAAUAAAUCUUACUUUUACCACUAAAAGAAUAUUAUUCUUAUGGUAAUGAGAAUAAUCUUUUGAAUACCUGGCAUAAUAAAUGCCUAAAAGACAUUUUGUUUUAUGAAUCUAUUUUUUUCUGCUAUAAUGAGGAUAUUGUAAAUCAUACAUUUGUAUUAAUGAUAUUUCUUAAAGCAAUAUAUGUAACUAAACUGAACUGAUCUACAAACUGUAGGCAUCUGUAAGUUCUGUUGUAGGUGCUAUAAACUUCAUUGGAGUUUUAAUGGGGGCAGAUUAUGUUGUGACUGUAUUAUUAAAAUACAUUGUCAAAAUAUUUUAGAUGUUUUCUUAAAUUGAAUAAGUGUUUAUUGGAGUAGUAACUUGGAAAGUGCAGAACUUUAUAUUUGUAUAAAGCUCUAUUGUUUACAAAGCAAAAAAA